UACGUAGGGUGCAAGCGUUACUCGGACUUACUGGGCGUAAAGCGUGCGUAGGCGGCUUUGCAAGACAGAUGUGAAAUCCCCGGGCUUAACCUGGGAACUGCAUUUGUGACUGCAUAGCUAGAGUACGGUAGAGGGGGAUGGAAUUCCGCGUGUAGCAGUGAAAUGCGUAGAUAUGCGGAGGAACACCGAUGGCGAAGGCAAUCCCCUGGACCUGUACUGACGCUCAUGCACGAAAGCGUGGGGAGCAAACAGG
RNAcentral lists this ribosomal RNA (253 nucleotides) under uncultured bacterium. RNAcentral's name for it is "partial 16S ribosomal RNA". It matches the Rfam family "Bacterial small subunit ribosomal RNA", at positions 524 to 776 of the family's 1533-position model. The record is from RNAcentral.